AACGAACGCUGUCGGCAGGCCUAACACAUGCAAGUCGAGCGGACAUCUUCGGAUGUUAGCGGCGGACGGGUGAGUAACGCGUGGGAACGUGCCCUUUGCUUCGGAAUAGCCUCGGGAAAAUGGGAGUAAUACCGGAUGUACCCUUUGGGGGAAAGAUUUAUCGGCAAAGGAUCGGCCCGCGUUGGAUUCGGUAGUUGGUGGGGUAAUGGCCUACCAAGCCGACGAUCCAUAGCUGGUUUGAGAGGAUGAUCAGCCACACUGGGACUGAGACACGGCCCAGACUCCUACGGGAGGCAGCAGUAGGGAAUCUUAGACAAUGGGGGAAACCCUGAUCUAGCCAUGCCGCGUGAGCGAUGAAGGCCUUAGGGUUGUAAAGCUCUUUCACCGGGGAAGAUAAUGACGGUACCCGGAUAAGAAGCCCCGGCUAACUCCGUG
This 435-nucleotide ribosomal RNA is filed under the name uncultured bacterium. RNAcentral's name for it is "partial 16S ribosomal RNA". It matches the Rfam family "Bacterial small subunit ribosomal RNA", at positions 29 to 507 of the family's 1533-position model. The record is from RNAcentral.